This 522-nucleotide ribosomal RNA is filed under the name uncultured bacterium. RNAcentral describes it as "bacterial SSU rRNA". It matches the Rfam family "Bacterial small subunit ribosomal RNA", at positions 988 to 1509 of the family's 1533-position model. The record is from RNAcentral.
CCAGAGAACUUAGCAGAGAUGCUUUGGUGCCUUCGGGAACUCUGAGACAGGUGCUGCAUGGCUGUCGUCAGCUCGUGUUGUGAAAUGUUGGGUUAAGUCCCGCAACGAGCGCAACCCUUAUCCUUUGUUGCCAGCGGCUCGGCCGGGAACUCAAAGGAGACUGCCGGUGAUAAACCGGAGGAAGGUGGGGAUGACGUCAAGUCAUCAUGGCCCUUACGGCCAGGGCUACACACGUGCUACAAUGGCGCAUACAAAGAGAAGCGACCUCGCGAGAGCAAGCGGACCUCAUAAAAGUGCGUCGUAGUCCGGAUUGGAGUCUGCAACUCGACUCCAUGAAGUCGGAAUCGCUAGUAAUCGUAGAUCAGAAUGCUACGGUGAAUACGUUCCCGGGCCUUGUACACACCGCCCGUCACACCAUGGGAGUGGGUUGCAAAAGAAGUAGGUAGCUUAACCUUCGGGAGGGCGCUUACCACUUUGUGAUUCAUGACUGGGGUGAAGUCGUAACAAGGUAAGCGUAGCGAG